RNAcentral lists this ribosomal RNA (492 nucleotides) under uncultured bacterium. RNAcentral's name for it is "bacterial SSU rRNA". It matches the Rfam family "Bacterial small subunit ribosomal RNA", at positions 38 to 518 of the family's 1533-position model. The record is from RNAcentral.
GGCGGCGUGCCUAACACAUGCAAGUCGAGCGGGGACAUGCGACGGAAGCGAAGUUUCGGAUGGAGCGGAAGAUGUUGUCUAGCGGCGGACGGGUGAGUAACGCGUGAGCAACCUGUCCCUUACAGGGGGAUAACACAGCGAAAGUCGUACUAAUACCGCAUAAGACCACGGGGAGACAUCUCCCAGGGGGUCAAAGGAGUAAUCCGGUAAGGGGUGGGCUCGCGUCCGAUUAGAUAGUUGGUGAGGUAACAGCCCACCAAGUCGACGAUCGGUAGCCGACCUGAGAGGGUGAUCGGCCACAUUGGGACUGAGACACGGCCCAAACUCCUACGGGAGGCAGCAGUGGGGAAUAUUGGGCAAUGGGGGGAACCCUGACCCAGCAACGCCGCGUGAGGGAAGAAGGUUUUCGGAUCGUAAACCUCUGUCCUUGGUGAAGAGGAAGAGACGGUAGCCAAGGAGGAAGCCCCGGCUAACCUACGUGCCAGCAGCAGC